UAUGCCUUAUUUUAAUGUUUUAUUUUGACAGAGAGAGAGAGACUUCCGCUAAGGCUCUACCACGUGACUGUGUUUCACCAAUCAAACGUAGUUGUGCAGUCUCGUCACUUUACCAUACUCAAUCUCAGUGGCGGGACGGGUUGGCUUUACAGUCAUAGCAACACAGAAAUGUCAGAAUUAGCCGUCGGCAAUGCAGACACAGACGAGGAGGAACACCCGCACCCCUGGCCUCAUAUUGAAAGCAUGUUUACCUUAGUAAAAGUGCGAAAGAACAGCUACAUUAUGCGGUGUCUUCUGUGUCUACCAAAACAAACAGACAUUUCAGCAUUCAAGAACUCAACAUCUAACUUGAGGAAACAUGUAGCGAGGAUUCACCCCAACAAACUGGCAAAGUACACAGACUUACUAGAGAACCACAGAAAGCGUUCAAUCCAGCUGAAAAUGGGUUUUUGGUCGAGUAUGCUGCUGU
This is a long non-coding RNA of Coregonus clupeaformis (lake whitefish), 469 nucleotides long. RefSeq lists it as uncharacterized. The record is from RefSeq and is a predicted model, not a curated record. The transcript has 3 exons. Lineage: Eukaryota; Metazoa; Chordata; Actinopteri; Salmoniformes; Salmonidae.